AGGGUCCAAAGAUCAUUGCGCACCUCUCACUCAUGGCUAGAGUUGAACUUUACUUUUCUAUAGUUGGGACAAGCGUUGCUCCAUAUUCUCCUCCACGUGGCUAGUUUGAUCGUUGAAGGCUAUUUAGUUGGUGAGUUCCCAUGUUUUGGGAACAACAUUUCAUUUUUUUCUUGCUUAUGACAUGUAUAGACUUUGAUUAUCUUUUGUUAUUUUUGGUACUACAUUUGAGGGUGAGCUAGGGACAUGUCUUAGCCCCUGCCAAGUCUAAGGAAAGUAGAGGUAUCAUUGGACAAUUAGAUGAUGUUUUGAAGUUGUUAAUGACUCUUGUUCUA
Long non-coding RNA from Solanum dulcamara, 332 nucleotides. RefSeq lists it as uncharacterized. Lineage: Eukaryota; Viridiplantae; Streptophyta; Magnoliopsida; Solanales; Solanaceae. The record is from RefSeq and is a predicted model, not a curated record. The transcript is spliced from 2 exons.